CAAGCCGGCCGGGUGAUCGCUGCCGCAGGCUCCUCGUGAGUCCGCGGUGGAGGAAAGUCCGGGCUCCGCAGGGCAGGGUGCCAGGUAACGCCUGGGGGACGUGAGUCCACGGAAAGUGCCACAGAAAACAAACCGCCGCGUUCGCGCGGUAAGGGUGAAAUGGUGCGGUAAGAGCGCACCGCGCCGGCCAACGCCGGUGGCAGGGUAAACCCCACCCGGAGCAAGGCCAAAUAGGGGAACGUACCGCUUUCGGGCGGUGACGUGCGGUCCGCACGAGUUCCCGGGUAGGCCGCUACAGGCCGGCGGUGACGCCGGUCGCAGAUGAAUGAUCACCGUGCUGCAUCGCAGCAAAACAGAACCCGGCUUACAGGCCGGCUUGCCUC
Molecule: RNase P RNA, 383 nt
Filed under: Gammaproteobacteria bacterium
Lineage: Bacteria; Pseudomonadati; Pseudomonadota; Gammaproteobacteria
Description: RNase P RNA component class A
Rfam family: Bacterial RNase P class A
About the family: Ribonuclease P (RNase P) is a ubiquitous endoribonuclease, found in archaea, bacteria and eukarya as well as chloroplasts and mitochondria.
Source: RNAcentral